GAUGAAGAACGCAGCGAAAUGCGAUAAGUAGUGUGAAUUGCAGAAUUCAGUGAAUCAUCGAAUCUUUGAACGCACAUUGCGCCCCUUGGUAUCCCGAGGGGCAUGCCUGUUCGAGCGUCAUUUCGCCACUCAAGCCUGGCUUGGUGUUGGGCGACGUCCUCUUUGGGGACGCGCCUCGAAACGCUCGGCGGCGUGGCACCGGCUUUAAGCGUAGCAGAAUCUUUCGCUUUGGAAGUCGGGGCCCCGUCUGCCGGAAGACCUGCUCGCAAGGUUGACCUCGGAUCAGGCAGGGAUACCCGCUGAACUUAAGCAUAUCAAUAAGCGGAGGA
RNAcentral lists this unclassified non-coding RNA (329 nucleotides) under soil metagenome. RNAcentral's name for it is "partial contains 5.8S ribosomal RNA, internal transcribed spacer 2, and large subunit ribosomal RNA". The stretch from base 1 to 120 matches the Rfam family "5.8S ribosomal RNA", at positions 35 to 154 of the family's 154-position model. The record is from RNAcentral.